UAGCUUGCUACCUGACCUAGCGGCGGACGGGUGAGUAAUGCUUAGGAAUCUGCCUAUUAGUGGGGGACAACAUUCCGAAAGGAAUGCUAAUACCGCAUACGCCCUACGGGGGAAAGCAGGGGAUCUUCGGACCUUGCGCUAAUAGAUGAGCCUAAGUCAGAUUAGCUAGUUGGUGGGGUAAAGGCCUACCAAGGCGACGAUCUGUAGCGGGUCUGAGAGGAUGAUCCGCCACACUGGGACUGAGACACGGCCCAGACUCCUACGGGAGGCAGCAGUGGGGAAUAUUGGACAAUGGGCGAAAGCCUGAUCCAGCCAUGCCGCGUGUGUGAAGAAGGCCUUUUGGUUGUAAAGCACUUUAAGCGAGGAGGAGGCUACUUGGAUUAAUACUCUAGGAUAGUGGACGUUACUCGCAGAAUAAGCACCGGCUAACUCUGUGCCAGCAGCCGCGGUAAUACAGAGGGUGCGAGCGUUAAUCGGAUUUACUGGGCGUAAAGCGUGCGUAGGCGGCUUUUUAANUCGGAUGUGAAAUCCNUGAGCUUAACUUAGGAAUUGCNUUNGAUACUGGGAAGCUAGAGUAUGGGAGAGGAUGGUNGAAUUCCAGGUGUAGCGGUGAAACGCGUAGANAUCUGGAGGAAUACCGAUGGCGAAGGCAGCCNUCUGGCNUAAUACUGACGCUGAGGUACGAAAGCAUGGGGAGCAAACAGGAUUAGAUACCCUGGUAGUCCAUGCCGUAAACGAUGUUUAUUAGCCGUUGGGCCCUUUGAGGUUUUAGUGGCGCAGUUAACGGGAUAAGUAGACCGCCUGGGGAGUACGGUCGCAAGAUUAAAAUUCAAAUGAAUUGACGGGGGCCCCCCCAACCGGUGGAGCAUGUGGUUUAUUUGGAUGCAACGGGAAGAACCUUACUUGGUUUUGACAUAGUAAGAAUUUUCCAGAGAUGGAUUGUUGCCUUCGGGAACUUACAUACAGGUGCUGCAUGGCUGUGGUCAGCUUGUGUUGUGAGAUGUUGGGUUAAGUCCCGCAACGGGGGCAACCCUUUUCUUUAUUUGCCAGCGGUUUAAGCGGGCAAUUUAAAGGGAAUGCCCGUUGCCAACCGGGAGGAAGGGGGGGAGAAGUCCAAUUCUUCUGGGCCUUUAGGACCGGGGUUCCCCACUUGUUCAAUUGUUCGUUCCAAGGGUUGCCAACCUGGGAAUGGGAGGUUAUUCUCAAAAGCCGAUCGUAGUCCGGAUUGGAGUCUGCAACUC
Molecule: ribosomal RNA, 1241 nt
Filed under: uncultured bacterium
Lineage: Bacteria
Description: bacterial SSU rRNA
Rfam family: Bacterial small subunit ribosomal RNA
Source: RNAcentral